UGCGUGAAGUUGGAAUCGCUAGUAAUCGCGGAUCAGCAUGCCGCGGUGAAUACGUUCCCGGGCCUUGUACACACCGCCCGUCACACCAUGAGAGUCGGGAACACCCGAAGUCCGUAGCCUAACCGCAAGGGGGCGCGGCCGAAGGUGGGUUCGAUAAUUGGGGUGAAGUCGUAACAAGGUAUC
Molecule: ribosomal RNA, 183 nt
Filed under: uncultured bacterium
Lineage: Bacteria
Description: partial 16S ribosomal RNA
Rfam family: Bacterial small subunit ribosomal RNA
Source: RNAcentral